CCCAGUUCGGAUUGUAGUCUGCAACCCGACUACAUGAAGCUGGAAUCGCUAGUAAUCGCGGAUCAGAAUGCCGCGGUGAAUACGUUCCCGGGUCUUGUACACACCGCCCGUCACACCAUGGGAGUCGGAAAUGCCCGAAGUCUGUGACCCAACCGCGAGGAGGGAGCAGCCGAAGGCAGGUCGGAUGACUGGGGUGAAGUCGUAACAAGGUACC
RNAcentral lists this ribosomal RNA (214 nucleotides) under uncultured bacterium. RNAcentral describes it as "partial 16S ribosomal RNA". It matches the Rfam family "Bacterial small subunit ribosomal RNA", at positions 1287 to 1500 of the family's 1533-position model. The record is from RNAcentral.